CAGUCGCCGCGGUAACACAGAGGGUGCGAGCGUUAAUCGGAUUUACUGGGCGUAAAGCGUGCGUAGGCGGCUUCUUAAGUCGGAUGUGAAAUCCCUGAGCUUAACUUAGGAAUUGCAUUCGAUACUGGGAAGCUAGAGUAUGGGAGAGGAUGGUAGAAUUCCAGGUGUAGCGGUGAAAUGCGUAGAGAUCUGGAGGAAUACCGAUGGCGAAGGCAGCCAUCUGGCCUAAUACUGACGCUGAGGUACGAAAGCAUGGGGAGCAAACAGGAUUAGAUACCCGUGUAGUCCCUGUCUCUUAUAC
RNAcentral lists this ribosomal RNA (301 nucleotides) under uncultured bacterium. Its description in RNAcentral is "partial 16S ribosomal RNA". It matches the Rfam family "Bacterial small subunit ribosomal RNA", at positions 509 to 807 of the family's 1533-position model. The record is from RNAcentral.